This 2028-nucleotide long non-coding RNA is filed under the name Sus scrofa (pig). Its description in RNAcentral is "lncRNA (ENSSSCG00065047047.1)". The record is from RNAcentral. Lineage: Eukaryota; Metazoa; Chordata; Mammalia; Artiodactyla; Suidae.
CCCUUUCCAACCAACCCCACACUGCCUCCCCCUGCCUGUAGAAUUAAUCACUCCCUUUUCAAUGAACCCACAGAAUUUUGCAUAUACAUGCUUCUUUCUCUCUUACCAUGGUAUCAAGUAAGAUGUGCAGACCACUCUCUCUCACAAACCUGUGAGCCCUUCUGGGGCAGAGGUUAACGCUUAUUCGUAUACAAACCACCAGUAUCCAGGAUAGUGCCUGCUACAGAAGAGGUUCCGACAAAAUGAUGUUGGUAGCCAUGUGCAUUGGGGUUAAGAGGGGCUUUGGAGUCAAAGAGACCAAGUUUGGUACCUAGAAAAUACCAUUCGUUAGCUCCAGGACUUGCAGUAGGUUAUGCAGUAUCUCUGUGGUAGGUAGAGUACUAGCUCCUUCCCCCCAAACAUGUUCGUGUCUUACUCCUUGGACCCUAGGGACCUGUAAGGGAAAUUCGGAUUGCAGAUGAAAUUAAGGUUGCUAAUCAGUUGAACUUAAAAUAGGGAGAAUAGUUCAGAUUACCCAGGUGGGCCCAAUACAAUCACAAAGGUCCUUAAAAGUGAAAGGCUGAGGCAGAAAAGGGGUCCAUGUGAUGCAACAUGAGAAUGACUCAACCCAACUUUGCUGGUUUUGAAGCUGGAGGGAGGCUAAUGCAAGGACUGUGGGCAGCUUCUAGAAAACUAGGAAAGACAUGGAAAUAGAGUCUCCCCUAAAGCCUCCGGAAAAACAUGCAGCACUGCAAACGCCUAGGUGCAAAUCAAAAAUUAUAUGUUACAUGACUUGAGAAGGCUUAAAAAGUAGAAAAGUUCUGAUUCUUUCUCUGGAGCACUAGGCCUCAAUGAGUUACUUUUCCAUGAAGAAUGUCUAGAAAAACUCAAUAAUUCUCAGUUUACCCUCCUCCAAGAGAGAUAUAUAUAUAUCUUUUGUUUUUAGUAAAUGAGAGUCCAUUUAUAUCUAUAUACUUAUAUCUCUAUAUAUCUUUUGUUUUUAGUAAAAGAGAGUCCAUUUCUGAAAUCCUGAUAGAACAUAUUAAAUAUAUGUUUUUAAUGAAUAAAUAUUUUUAAUGAAAAUGUAUAUUUAGUGAACAGAUAUAUCACCAACAAUGCCACCGCCCAGAGUAAUCAUACUUGACGUUUUGGAGACUAUAAUUUUAGGGGUGUGCAUGUGUAUGUGUUUGUGUGUGCGUGUGUAUCUGGGCAUCUACAAACAUGGCAUAAAAUCUUAAAAUCUUUACAAGUUUUCCUUAUCAGGCACAUAACACAAACAGCCUUGCCAUUUAUUUUUCUUCUUUGACAUCCCUCAGAAAAAAUUUGGAGUCUUUAGAAAGGUCUAACACAUUUCUAAUUAUAUUUAGUCUUCAAAAUUUUAUGUUUGUGUAGCUACUGUGAAGCUUUUCUAUUGCAUGUUCUAAGAGGUUAUUGAGGAUGUGGCUAUAUUUUUUCAUUAUGUAUACUAAAAUUAUCUUUCUGUACUCUCUUAGUUCUAAUAUUUUUUUUCAAUAAAUUCCCAGAUAUUUUCCAAAGAAGCAAUUAUGUUUUCUAAAAAUAAUGGUAGGAGUUCCCAUUGUGGCACAGUGGAAACGAAUCCAACUAGGAACCAUGAGGUUGCAGGUUCGAUCUCUGGCCUCCCUCAGUGGGUUAAGGAUCUGGCAUUGCUGCCAGCUGUGGUGUAGGUCAUCCUUAACCCACUGAGCAAGGCCAGGGAUAGAACCUGCGUCCUCAUGGUUACAAGCUGGGCUCGUUACCACUGCGCCACAAUGGGAAUUCCUUUUUAUUUAUUUUAAACAUUUCUUUUUUAAUAAUAAAAGCAUCAAAUGCUAUGAAUUUCCUCUGAGUACAGUUUUCACCAGAAUGUUAUCAUUAGUAUUUCCUAAGUAGUUUAUAAUUGCACUUUGGAUUUAGUCUUUGAUCCCAGAGCUAUUUAGGAGAAAUAUUUUAUGAGUUUUCCCCCAAACUCAAAAGCUUGAUCAUUUUUUUCUGUUUAUUUAUUUUUUAAAAAUUUCUAAGUUUGCUGGCUCUAUCACCAGCAUCUACCAU